Molecule: ribosomal RNA, 279 nt
Filed under: uncultured bacterium
Lineage: Bacteria
Description: partial 16S ribosomal RNA
Rfam family: Bacterial small subunit ribosomal RNA
Source: RNAcentral
UGCCAGCCGCCGCGGUAAUACGGAGGGUGCAAACGUUGCUCGGAAUUAUUGGGCGUAAAGCGCGCGUAGGCGGCUUAGCAAGUUGGGUGUGAAAGCCCUGAGCUCAACUCAGGAAGUGCACUCAAAACUGCUAGGCUUGAAUCUUGGAGGGGGUCAGAGAAUUCUCGGUGUAGAGGUGAAAUUCGUAGAUAUCGGGAGGAAUACCAGUGGCGAAGGCGCUGGCCUGGACAAUGAUUGACGCUGAGGUGCGAAAGCAUGGGGAGCAAACAGGAUUAGAUA